CCCUGGAUGGAGGCCCCAGCCUGGGGCGUGGUGCCCAGAGGCCAGAGGUUUUACAGACUUCUACCUGUGAGGAACUGUCUGUUGAUUCUGAGAAACCUCACACUGUGCUCCUGGGGAGCCAGGGGAGUUCCUGCCAGACCUGGCAUGACUGGGAGUCUCCCAGGGCCAGAUGCAGGGUAGAAAGGGAGGUGCACACGGAGAGGAAGGGAGCCCGGACACAGUCCUAGAAGCAGAGGACCCUGCCCCCCUGUCACCAGCCAUCCCCGCCUUCCAGCCCAAGCAGAGCUGUCAUGAGGAGCCAGUGUGAGAGGGACACUGGGACAUGCUGAAAGGGCUCCCAGAGAGAUGUGGGAAGCGAGCUGGAAGGCCUGGGAAGAGAGUUUGCCCUUUAAUCCCAGAUUACGGAGGCUGCCUGCC
Molecule: long non-coding RNA, 417 nt
Organism: Molossus molossus (Pallas's mastiff bat)
Lineage: Eukaryota; Metazoa; Chordata; Mammalia; Chiroptera; Molossidae
Exons: 3
Source: RefSeq, a predicted model, not a curated record